GAUGAACGCUGGCGGCGUGCCUAAUACAUGCAAGUCGAGCGAACGGACGAGAAGCUUGCUUCUCUGAUGUUAGCGGCGGACGGGUGAGUAACACGUGGAUAACCUACCUAUAAGACUGGGAUAACUUCGGGAAACCGGAGCUAAUACCGGAUAAUAUUUUGAACCGCAUGGUUCAAAAGUGAAAGACGGUCUUGCUGUCACUUAUAGAUGGAUCCGCGCUGCAUUAGCUAGUUGGUAAGGUAACGGCUUACCAAGGCAACGAUGCAUAGCCGACCUGAGAGGGUGAUCGGCCACACGGGAACUGAGACACGGUCCAGACUCCUACGGGAGGCAGCAGUAGGGAAUCUGCCGCAAUGGGCGAAAGCCUGACGGAGCAACGCCGCGUGAGUGAUGAAGGUCUUCGGAGCGUAAAACUCUGUUAUUAGGGAAGAACAGAUGUGUAAGUAACUGUGCACAUCUUGACGGUACCUAAUCAGAAAGCCACGGCUAACUACGUG
This 497-nucleotide ribosomal RNA is filed under the name uncultured bacterium. Its description in RNAcentral is "partial 16S ribosomal RNA". It matches the Rfam family "Bacterial small subunit ribosomal RNA", at positions 28 to 507 of the family's 1533-position model. The record is from RNAcentral.